UAGAAGUCAUGUACGUAUUUUUCAUUUAACAUAUUGACAUGAUUGAUAUUGUCAAGAUGCAAAGUGACAUACACGCAUAUAAUUUUAAGUAAUACACUAGCAACGUCACGGGCAAACAAAGACAUGAAACAUACAGACUAACAAAUGACCUCAAAUUGUGGUGACCUGAGGUUCUCCAGAAGGGUAAUCAGAAAAUGCGUCACGUGACACCUGUGGUGUUGCACCUGGAAGUACAAACCGGUGAUAAGUUUAAUGGAGUAGGUCACAUUCGAUUAACGAUUAAACAACAAUAUAAGAACACAAGAAAAUCAGAAUACAAACAAUAUGCAAACCUCACAAUGAUGGUCACUGCUUUUUUGAAAUGCAUCUUCGUUAUGUUUAACAAAGUACACAAUAGUCGUAUGUUUUAUGGUUUAACAAAUAAAGGGAUCUGCCGUAAUUCUUUUAAAAUCAAAUGUCAAAAUACAUGUUAGAAAAUCACUAUGAGUAAACAAGCACUAAAAAUAUGACACGACAACAUUUCACAAAAAACAAAUAAAAAUGAACGAAAGACAAACAUAUAUUUAUGCGAUAGUUUCUGUGGUGUCGAAUUUGGCCAAGUCUGUGUUUUUGGUCGAUGAUUAUCUCUUUAAAUCUAUAUGCUGAGUUAAGCUAACGUGUUUUUAUAGAUUGCUCUUCUGUAGACAAUGCAUUCAACGCACAGUUAGAUCUCGUCUGACUGGAAAUGACAAAUUCAUAUUCAUCUAUGGCCAACUUGCCUGAAGGAGUUGAAACCUUACUUUCUUAAAUUAUUAGAUUACUUAAAGAACAUUUGAUUUUUAUACGCCCGUCAUAAUUUUGACGGGACGUAUUAUGGUAUACAAAUAUCCGGUGCCCGUCCGUCUGUCCGUCUGUCCGUGUAUCCGUCUGUCCGUCUGUCCGGCGUAAACAUGUCGCACCGUAACUUGAGAACGACUUAUCCAAAUAUCAUGAAACUUAAUAUAGUUGUUUCUUAUGAUGAUCAAAUGAUCUGUAUACUUUUUGGUGAAAAUAAAAUUAAAACUUUUUGAGUUACGGCGCUUUGUAACUAAAACAGGGGGGUGUUUUUUCACAUGUCGCACUGUAUCUCAAAAACGAUUUUAGCUUAAAACUUUACACACUUCUUAGAUAUAUUAAUCUUAAGAUCUGUAUACUUUUCUUGUGAUGAUUCAAAAUUUGAUUUUUGAGUUAUUGAGUAUUUUGUAAAAAGGGGGAGGUUUUUUUACAUGUCGCGCCGUAUCUCCAAAAUGACUUAUGGUUAUUGCUUUACACUUUACACACUUUUUUGUUAUAUCAAUCUAAAGAUCUGUAUACUUUUUGGUGAUGAUUCAAAAUUUUAUUUUUUGAGUUAUUGAGUAUUUUGUAAAAAAGGGGAGGUUUUUUUUACAUGUCGCGCCGUAUCUCCAAAAUGACUUAUGGUUAUUGCUUUACACUUUACACACUUUUUUGUUAUAUCAAUCUAAAGAUCUGUAUACUUUUUGGUGAUGAUUCAAAAUUUUUAUUUUUGAGUUAUUGAGUAUUUUGUAAAAAAGGGGAGGUUUUUUUUACAUGUCGCGCCGCACCUCAAAAACAAUAUAUGAUUAUUGCUUUAAACUUUACACACUUCUUUGAUAUAUUAAUCUUAAGAUCUGUAUACUUUUUGGUUUUGAUUCAAAAUUUGAUUUUAGUGAUAUUUAGUUUUUUGAAAAAAAGGGGGGCUUUCACAUGUCUCGCCGUAUCUGAAAAACAAUAUAUGGUUAUUGCUAAAAACUUUCUCGGAAACUAUUUAUGAUUAUUGCAUUAAACUUCCACACCACACGUCGGGCGUAUCAUGUGCUCAUGGCGCAGCUGUUUAUUUAUAAAUCAUGUCAGUACAGAAGGACUGACUAAUGGAGUGUUAGUUCAUCAGAGAUAUCGGCCCAAUUCGUUCUUUACGAAAUUGGGAAUAUAACACGCGAUCAAUUUCAUGCGUCUGUAGCGCUUUUAUGGAUUUUCCAUGUUAACUAAUACCAUUUGUGACCAAUGUGUUUAGAGCGUUACAAUAAUAGCAAUUGAAUCACUAGUUCAUAGCCUCGUUGUUUUGUUAUGUUAAGUAGAUUAUUCAAAUUAGUGAUGUUUCAAAACUAAUGAGUAUUUGACAAAUUUGAAAAACAAUUGACUGUGAAAUUGAAAUAUGCAUGACAAGAAUUUAAGGUAAUAUGAUACUGAGGAAUUUCUUGUAGUGAUUUUUUUUCUCUUAGGGGGGUUCGCGGGUCUAAAUCAUUUAUAUAGGAUUUCUCUAUAUUUUUCUAUAAAUGAACUUUAUCUUAUGGUUACUAGAAAAAUAAAAUAAAAAAGUGGGGUCACCGUUCAUUUGCGCUCACAAUCUGCCUUCGAAAGAAGCAUACAUUUUUGUAAAGGUGGUUUUUUUCUGUUGAAGUAAUAGGAGAAAUAAAGGUAAUAUCGAAAAAAAAGAAAGAAAUUUAUUACAGAAAUUGCUCAAAUUUUACAAUAAUUUAGUUUAAGUACAGCUUAUAUGGAAAUUAUAUUAAAAAACAUAGGUCACCGAAGAGUUAAAAAAGAUAUUUCAAUUUCAAAGCCAAAAAAUGGCAUUUUUUCACCAAAGGGAGAUAAUUUGGAACUUUUUCAAUGAUGUAUACAUUUUAAAAGUCAUCUAGGGCCAACACGAAUUGUUUGUUUUUAAUGAUGUUUGUACCAUAUGAUAAGUAACAACUACAAAAGGUGACAAAUAAAAUUUGAAAUGAAAAAACAAAUGUUUAUUUUUUUUCUAAAAUUUUUAUACCCUCGAGCCUUCUUAAACUAAACAAUUCGAGGUGUAUUGCUCUUUUACUGACUUUUAAAAUAGAUCGCAUAUAUCACGUGCAUUUAUCGUAUGUUAUUUCAUUUACGGUUUGAAGUUUGUUUUAUCUGUAGGUUUUCAUAUAACUUUUAACGAUAUAUGUAUAAUUUCGUUUCAGUAAUGCUUCAUGUUUUUUGUUUGAUACAUUUCUACCAUAUUAUUGAUACAAAUCCUGAUAAAAAACACAAUCGUUAUUACAUCAUGAUAGGUUUUGUUUUUGUUUCAGAUAUCUUCAAGACAAUAAUUUGUCAACAAUUAAGGCAAAUGUGUUCAGAGAUCUUUCCCUAGUUGCUCUGUAAGUUUUUUUUUUAUAUAAAUUACAGGUUGGUUGGUUUUAUUUCCGUUCAAUCGGUUUUCAUCUUUUCUCCUAUGUUUAUUGUUCAUUUUUGAAAGCUUGAAUAAACUUUUUGUUUAGUUCACCUGACCUGAAAGGGUUAUUGCCAUUUAUAGUAAAUGUUUAACAAUUUUUCAUUAACUUUUGCAAUCUUUUACAAAAAGCUUCUCCUCUAAAACUUCUAAGCCAAAUUUAACCACACUUGGCCAUAAUCAUUACUUGGGUAUUUAGUUUGAAAACAAUUGUGUCUGCUGACCCCGCCGGCCAACCAACAUGGCCGAUAUGGCUUAUAAUAAAACAAAGGUUGAAUGGAGUGGGGGUUAAAAUGCAGUUUUUCUUAUUAUCUUGAAUAUUAUUAUAGAAAGAGAUAAACUGAUUUAAAAAAAAAAUCUUCUUCUCGAAAACUACUGAGACAAAUUUUACGAAACUUGGCCAUGAUCAUUAUUAGGGUAUCUAGUUGUGUCCGAUUACCCUGCUUUACAACCACAAUGGCAGUUAUGACUAAAAAUAGAACAUAGCGGUAAAAUGCGGUCUUUGGUUUAUAUCUCUGAAACUUAAGCAUUUAGAGCAAAUCUGCCAAGUGUCAAAAAUGUUCAAUAAAUUUAGAUUUAUCUGCCCUGAACUUGUCAGACAAGUCCUACAAACCGGUGUUGGGUUUCUUUACUUGAGUUUGUAAUUUUACGGAAAUUUUGCAGUUUUUGUUAUUAUCUUAGUUUAAUAUUAUUAAAGUAUCUACUCAUAUCUUAUAUCUAAUACUAAUAAUUAUGAUUUAACCUUAUUUAACAUGAUUUCCAAAGCAUUAGUAAAUACAGUUGAGCGACACAGGCUCAUGAGCGCCUCUAGUUUUAGCUCACCGUCGUCCGUCGUCUUUAAUUUUUACACAAAUCUUCUCCUCUGAAACUAAUGAGCCAAAUUUAACCAAACUUAGCCACAACCAUUAUUUGGGUAUGUAGUUUAAUAAUGUGUCCGGUGACGCGGCCAACCGAUCAAGAGGGCCGCCAUGGCUUAAAAUAGAACAUAGGGGUUAAACGUAGAUUUUGGUUAUAUCUCUGAAACCAAAGCAUUUAUAGCAAAGUGACUGAAGUAAAAUUGUUGAUCAGGUCAGGAUCUAUCAGCUUGAAAUUUUCAGAUGAAUAAGACAAACCGUUGUUAUGUUGCUGCCCCUGAAUUGAUAAUUUUAGGGAAAUUUUGCCGUUUUUGUUUAUUAUCUUGAAUAUUAUAAAGAUAAACUAUAAUCAGUAAAAGUGUUCAGCAAAGUACGAUCUACAAAAAAAAUCACAUGAUCAAAAUGACCAGUUUUUUAAGGAGUUAUUGCCCUUUAUAGUCAAUGAUUAACAAAUUUUCGUAUAUUUUGUUAUCUUUUACAUAAAUCUUCUCCUCUGAAACUACAAAGACAAAUUUAAAAAAACGUGCGCACAAUCAAUAUCAGUGUAUACACUUUCAUAAAUGUGUCCGAAGACCCAGCUAGCGAAACAAAAUGGACGACAUGGCUAAAAAAAGUUCAUAGGGUAAAAUGCAGUUUUUGGCUCAUAUCUCUGAAACAAAAGCAUUUAAAGCAAAUCUGACCGGGAUAAAAUUGUUCAGUAAAGUUAGAACUACAAACACAUCACCAUCACCAAAACACAGUUUUUCCAUGAAUCCAUCUGUUACCUUCGUUUAAUAUUCACAUAGACUUAGGAGAGCAACAUAAGCUCCUUAAGUUAUAAAAAUAAAACCGACAUUUUAUACCAUUUCUAUGUUCAAUUAUGAGUAAGAGCCAAUAAAAUCCUUUCAAUUAAAAGCUAUUGAUGAACACACGAGUUUAACCAUGGGUUUAAGUACAAUUGGUUGUGUUCACUUCUCUGUUUAUCGCUUCACAGAUUUGUAUAGAUUUUGUUUUGGUUCAGAUGUUUUUUGUAUGAUAACUAUUGGAUCUUUGUAUCUUUUUUGUUGUAAUAUAGUAAAUAAAUAUCAUUUUGAAUUAUCAUAAAGUCAGACACAUUAUAUAUUUUAAUAAGUAUUUUUUCACAGUUUUCUUAAUGGGAACCCUAUAACAGUUAUAGAAACACAUGCAUUUGUCAAUCUUCCACGUAUACAAGUCAUGUAAGUACUUAUUAUAUUUUAAGACAGACAGACAAAAAAAUCAAAGUACAAUUUACGAAGCCCUGGGUCUUUUCUUAGUACGAAGUUUUACAUCUGACUAUUUCUGUAAGGGAUCAUGUGCAACUGAUUCUCAUAUAAUACACUUGACAUUUUCCAAUCGAAAUUGUAUAAAGAUCAUAAAAGUUCCUUAAAGAAAGUACUUUAAUUGAAAUUUAAAUUGGUAAAUAAGAAUCAAAUGCAGAACUUUUUUUACUCUCAGAUUUUUUUUGUUGUGAUCUCAAAAAAAAAAGACGAGGGACGAAAGAUACCAAAGGGACAGUCAAACUCAUAAAUCUAAAACAAACUGACAACGCCAUGGCUAAAAAUGAAAAAGACAAACAAACAACAGCACACACGACACAACAUAGAAAACUAAAGAAUAAACAACACGAAUUGAUAACGAACUGAAGUAAUAAGAGACUUUAGAAACUAUUUCCGUAACUCCUUAUUCGGUAAAAAGAUAAGCUUUAGUCAUAAACGUUAAUAUACAGCUUUUUAGAAAUGUAAUGACUAGUGAAUAUCACCAUUCAAUAUUAACAGUAAAAAUUUAUAUCGAUAAUAGCACUAUAAAAAUCAAAGUACUUAAGAACUGAACAUCUGAUGUCCGCAAGUAAUUGUAGAUGGUCCGCCGAGCACUUGUCUCCAAAAAAGCACACCUCUAUACUUGAAAGUGAGGGUAAUGUACAAAUAUGAUUAUUUUUUUUUCUGAGACGAGUUCGUGCGGGGAUGAUAAAUUAAUGACAGGAAUUCAUCCCCACCGUAAUGACUUUUAUAUUGUACUGAUACAAAUCGGUAUACUCUGGUUUAAUGCCAUAUAUUAUAUUAAUACUUGUAUAUUACUGUUUUAUUCUAAACAUAUUGUUAUUCCAAUGCAAUACAUUUUAAAAGGUUUAUAUUGUAUGGUCGUAAAUAAAGUUGUAAAAAGAAAAAUACCUUUGAAAUAUAUGCCAGGUUUUAGUGAUUUUUCAUAUAAUUUUCUUUUCCUUAAUUGCGAUAAAAAUUAAAAGAUGUUAAUUUUAACCGAGUAAUUAUUUAUAACUUUUGACAUAUACUCUAAAAAAUCUGUCGAAAGAGAAAAAAAAACAAUUUUUAAUUACUAAGCAGUUUAGUUAAAUACAAUUUGGCAAAAUCUUUGGUUUGUGAUAGAUUUACAUCUAUCGACCAUAGCAUUUAGUAUAACAUUGGGAUAAACCAUCAAGUCCUUUAUAUAUAUAUAAUUUGAAUAAUUACAAAUUUUAAGUAAAAAGACAACAUUAAAACCCAUAACAUGAGUAGCGAACAAUGCAUGUAUACACUGAGUCAUAAAAUAAAAAAAAAAGCUACAAAAAACGUUUAGACAGGCAAUGCUGACCCAAAACAUGACAGUUGUAAUUAUAUAAAACAAAUAUCAUAAAAUGUUUAGACAGGCAAUGCUGACCCAAAACAUGACAGUUGUAGUUAUAUAAAACAAAUAUCAUAAAACGUUUAGACAGGCAAUGCUGAUCCAAAACAUAACAGUUGUAAUUAUAUAAAAUAAAUAUCAUAAAACGUUUAGAUAGGCAAUGCUGACCCAAAACAUGACUGUUGUAAUUAUAUUAAACAAAUAUCAUAAAACGUUUAGACAGGCAAUGCUGACCCAAAACAUGACAGUUGUAAUUAUAUAAAACAAAUAUCGUAAAACGUUAAGACAGGCAAUGCUGACCCAAAACAUGACAGUUGUAAUUAUAUAAAACAAAUAUCGUAAAACGGUUAGAUAGGCAAUGCUGACCCAAACAAUGACAGUGGUUAUUAUAUAAAAAAAAUAUCACAAAACGUUUAGACAGGCAAUGCUGACCCAAAACAUGACAGUUGUAAUUAUAUAAAACAAAUAUCGUAAAACGUUUAGACAGGCAAUGCUGACCCAAAACAUGACAGUUGUAAUUAUAUAAAACAAAUAUCAUAAAACGUUUUGGCAGGAAAUGCUGACCCGAAACAAGACCGUUGAAAUUAUAUGAAAUAGAGAUCAUUAUACGUUUUUGCAGGCAAUAUUGACCCAUAACAAGACAGUUGUAAUUAUAUGAAAUAAAGAUCAUAAAACGUUUUGUCAGGCAAUGCUGACCCAAAACAUGACAGUUGUAAUUAUAUAAAACAAAUAUCAUAAAACGUUUAUACAGGCAAUGCUGACCCAAAACAUAACAGUUGUAAUUAUAUAAAAUAAAUAUCAUAAAAAAUGCUGACCCAAACAUGACUUUAGCAGGGCAAUGCUGACCAAACAUAACAGUUGUAAUUAUUAAAAUAAAUAUCAUAAAACGAGGAUGCAAUGCUGACCCAAAACAUGUAAAUUAUAUUAAACAAAUAUCAUAAAAGUUAGACAGGCAAAUGCUGACCCAAAAAUGACUGUUGUAAUUAUAUUAAACAAAUAUCAUAAAACGUUUAGACAGGCAAUGCUGACCCAAAACAUGACAGUUGUAAAUAUAUAAAACAAAUAUCGUAAAACGUUUAGACAGGCAAUGCUGACCCAAAACAUGACAGUUGUAAUUAUAUAAAACAAAUAUUGUAAAACGUUUAGAUAGGCAAUGCUGACCCAAACAAUGACAGUUGUAAUUAUAUAAAACAAAUAUCAUAAAACGUUUAGACAGGCAAUGCGACCAAACAUGACAGUUUAAUAUAUAAAACAAAUAUCGUAAAACGUUUAGACAGGCAAUGCUGACCCAAAACAUGACAGUUGUAAUUAUAUAAAACAAAUAUCAUAAAACGUUUAGACAGGCAAUGGUGACCCUCAAACAAGACAGUUGUAAUUGUAUAAAAUAAAGAUCAUAAAACGUUUUGUCAGGCAAGAAUGACCCGAAACAGCUGACGUUCUGGUACUAACUUAAUUCUGUUUAUGCUGUCAAAUUCCAUAAACGCAUUAGACCCCAAUCCUUGACUAACGGAUAGGACAAUUCCAUCCGUGCACUGCAGUAGAAGUGAUUGCUCACAGGUUAACACAUCAAAUACUGAUGAUAAGAGAAGAGUGACCACAACACACUUACACGUAAACUCGUGAUCAUUGACAAAUAAGACAGAUGAAAUUCAAUCAUGAAUUAGUCAUAGGUGAAAUUUCUCUGCAUGUUAAAACAUGUUAUCUAAUUUCAACUAUUUAUCAUUUAAUAACGUAGGACACGCUGACCUUUUGACCAGACUAAAGACAGCAUAACUUUACAGUAUAAAUAGCUAACUCUUUAUUUAAGUCUUAAAUUAUUUAAAUCAGCUUGAUUUUCAAUUAGCAAAUAAAAUUGGAUGUACAUUUAUUGAUGUGGGAUUAACGUUGUUUCAACAUCAUUAUAAGAGAUCGUUAAAAUCAGGAGAACAAUAUACGAUCAUAAUGAUGAGCACCAGUUUACUAUAAAUUCCUGGAUUCUUUAGGGAUGAUAUACUUUAAUAAAUGUAACAGGAAAUUUACUGACAGUAAACAUAGUAUUACAAAUUUACAUUCGGGCAAAUGUAUGUAACAGAUUUGUAACCAGUUUAAAAAAAAAGAAAAAGGGAAAAGACGACUGAUGUCUAGUAUCAACAUGAGAUCUUUCCUAAACUACAUUUAAUGCAAUUGGUUUGAAAAAACUAAAUUUGGACAAGAUCGUAUAUGUUGAGUGGUUAUCUCAAAAGAAUAUAUAUCUAUAAUAAAUCAAAACCACCAUUUUAAAAUCAUGUUUAACAAAUGGGCAACAUAUAGGUGCCCAUUGCAAAAUUCUUUCUUUACAAAACUCAUUUACUCACAUAUAGAAUCUACAAAAGACUAAGCAACACGAAUCCAGCAUAAAAUCGGGUGUGAUAUCAUGUGCUCCGGAAGGGUGAGCAGAUCUUCCUCCACACGUGGAAUCCGUCGUGUUACUCAUUUAAAUACAGAUCAUGAUAUUUGUAAGUCUGACUCGGAAAGUAAUAUUCGAGUAAAAGAGGACAUGAUAGUGGUUGCAAUAAUUUGAUCAUAUUCGUCUUCAUCUAUUAAAGAGAUAAUCCUUAGCGGACAUUUCACUUUUUUUCGCGACUUUGUUAAAUAAAUGUAUAUGUUAGAUUGAAUGUUAUAGCCAGAUGUGUUGUAUGUAAGUAAUGUUCGUUUACAAUUGUUUUUAUACUAAAUCCAAAUUAUGGGCUCAAUAACCAAAUAUUUCGGUUUCGAUAGCCUAUCUUUUUUUCUCAAUAUAACUCACCUAUUUAUGCAUGUUAAAGCUUUACACACUGUUAUACAAGUCGGAGGUUGUGCUGGCUAUAAUACUAGGUUUUCUUUGGAAAACUCAUGUACUAAUUCAAAAAUAUGACAGUUGUUUUUCUGUUAUUUGUUGUGCCGUUGAUAGAAAACGUUUCAGUUCAUAUUCAGGUUUGUUUUUCAUCUUGGAGUAGAAUAUAUCUUAUUAGCUCUAUGAUAUUAAACCUACUGUUGCCUUAAUCAGGAAUUGAUAUCAUAAAAACAAUCAUUAAUCAUGCGGGUGUUGUCGUUUAAUACAUGUCAAUUAUUAUACCUGUAUCUAAGUAUUAUAUAUAUUUCUUGAUUUGUUGUCGCGUUUUACUAUGCGCUCCAUUUUGUUUGAUCUCAUUUAUUCUAACCUUAUGUUGCCAUCAUAUUGUUUUAGACGUGGUUUAGAUCCAUUUUUAAAAGAGAUUGAAACCGAAGCAUUUGUAAACGUAACACCGACGUUUUUGUAAGUAGAUUAUGGCUUAGAAUUUAAGAUUUAAAAUAUUAAUGAUUACUUUGAAAUGUAACUGAUUAUAAGUUAAAUUUAGAUUUAAGACUAAACCGUUGUACAUGUAUAAAACAAAAGAGAGUCGGGUUUUGUUUUGGAAUCUUUCAAAAAAAGUUGGCUUUAAAAAGAAUUCCAGAAAAAGUAUAAAAACACGUGUGUCUUUAAUAAUAAAUGUCAUCCUACUUCAACAGUUUUUAUUGAAUUCUGUAGCAGUGAUUUCAUUGUUUAGAAUGUCCGUUUUUAUUUUUACCUGUUACUUAAUCAAAUGAUAAUAGAUAUACGAAAUAAACAUUUUUAUAUAAUGUGGAAAUCCAGAAAGUCAUAUUCGAUUUUUCCUUUUGUAGAAUAAACAAUAAUGGGUAAACAGUUUAUGUUUACGUUUUGAAAAUACAUUAACCUAUUGAAACUAAAAUUUUCAAUUACAAACACGUUUUGCAGGAUCUCGAUAUUGACGACUUCAAGUCUAAACCUCCUGACUGCACUUGUGCUAGUUCCCAAUUCACAUAUAAUCCUGCUGGCCACGUUAUUACGGUGACCUAACAUUGUUAAUAACACUUCUCUACGAAAUGUGUUAUCGAAAGGUCCGAAAUAUCGUGAGCCUAAAUCCAUCAAUUGAAAUACAACUUAAAAAUUUUGAUGGAUUCAGUUGAGGAUUAUGCCAGGCAAUGGGCUAAGCGCGAGAAGGAAGACGUAGACACUCUUUCCGAAUGGAUUAAGGCAAUGAGGUCGUUGAUACAAAUCAGAAUUACGAAACUGAAUGGGUCUAUCAAUGCCCAUGCUACGUCAAUCUUUAAAGACCCAAAUAUUGCAAAACACCUAUCAUACCUCCAUGACAAAUAGGUUGUUGUCCUCGCCGAUAAAGCCCCAAACAACAUCGUUUUUGUAUGUAAAACUCAUUACAUUAACUGCUUUAUAAACGAUUUAGGUAUUGACUUUUCACUUGGAAACUCAACAUAUACCCUCACGACACUUACCAAAGUGGAAAUCCUAGAUAAUCAUAGGUCUGUUCUGUGUUCCUUUGGAAUUUCAACCAAAGAUGAAGAACUGGAUCUGCCAUCACUGUAUUGGAUACCUAAACUACAUAAGUGUCCUUACCAACAACGGUAUAUUGCUGGGUCUUCCAAGUGCUCCAUGAAACCUCUUUCUAAAUUAUUAACAUCUAUUUCAUCAGCAAUCAAAGACGGGCUUCAAAGUUAUUGUGAAACUGCCUAUUCUAGAGGGGGCGUGAAUCAGAUGUGGAUACUUAAAAAUUCCAAAGAUCUUUUAGAGUACAUACAAUCUAACUCUCUUUCAUCUUGUAAACAGCAUUAAAACAUUUGACUUUUUCUACUCUGUACACUAGUAUUCCACAUUCCAAACUAAAAGACAAAUUGAAAGAGUUGGUAUUGCUUUGCUUCGUAUAAAAGAAUGGCCAACGUAGAUACAAGUAUCUUGUCUUAGGGAGAGUAAGUCCUACUUUGUAAAGGAUCACUCUGAGUCGAACAAAAAAUUCUCUGAAACUGAUAUUAUCAAGAUGAUUGACAACAUAUUUGUUACGUUCGGAGGACGUGUUUUUCAACAGACUAUCGGCAUUCCAAUGGGAACAAACUGUGCCCCUCUACUUUCCGACUUGUUUCUUUAUUAAAAAGUAAAAAACACAAAAAUACUGAACUCCGAGGAAAAUUCAAAAAGGAAAAUCAAAAAUCAAAAGGCAAAAUCAAAAGUCCAAACACAUCAAACGAAUGGAUAACAUGAGGCUGACUUCAUGCAGGAACUUCUUAGGAAGAAAGAUAAGAAGUGAGCAAUAUCCUUUAACUCUACUUUUCGCUAUUUAGAUGAUGUUCUUUCACUAUAAAUAAUUCAAAAUUUGGUGACUAUGUGGAACGCAUCUAUCCAAUCGAGCUAGAGAUAAAGGAUACUACAGAUACAGUUAAGUCGGCCUCAUAUCUUGACUUACAUCUAGAAAUUGACAAUGAGGGUCGUUGAAAACAAAACUUUACGACAAAAGAGAUGAUUUCAGCUUUCCAAUUGUGAACUUUCCAUUUCUAAGUAGCAACAUUCCAGCAGCACCUGCAUACGGGGUAUAUAUCUCCCUAUUGAUACGAUAUUCCCGUGCUUGCAUUUCCUAUCAAAAUUUUCUUGAUAGAGGGUUGCUGCUAACAAGGAAGCUAUUAAACCAAGAGUUCCAAAUGGUGAAGUCGAAAUCAUUCCUUCGUAAAUUUUACGGACGCCAUCACGAGUUGGUUGACCGUUAUGGAAUAACCGUUUCACAUUUGAUAUCGGAUAUAUUCCUUACGUCGUAACUACAAUCCCCUCCCCCCUUUUUUGAAUGUGACCUACCGAAUUAGACUAUUUACCGGAUUUGUUAUCACAUAAGCAACACGACGGGUGCCGCAUGUGGAGCAGGAUCUGCUUACCCUUCCGGAGCACCUGAAAUCACCCCUAGUUUUUUGGUGGGGUUCGUGUUGUUUAUUCUUCAGUUUUUUAUGUUGUGUCGUGUGUGCUGUUGUUUGUUUGUCUUUUUCAUUUUUUGCCGUGGCGUUGUCAGUUUGUUUUAGAUUUAUGAGUUUGACUGUCCCUUUGGUAUCUUUCGUUCCUCUUUUUUUAAUUUGAAUGAAUAUUUUUACACCCUAACGAACCUAAUUAAAUGCUUCAUUGUUUUGAACAUUUAUUAUAAAAACAUAAAGAUAUCUACCAAUGUUAUUUUAUAAUUAACCUUAACACUAUAUCUUUAUUAUCAUUGACAGUGUCAUAGUUAUAAAUCAACUGUUUAUGAAACCUUGAUAUUUCGAAAUACUAAGGGGUUGUUAUAUAUAACACAAGAAAUAGAUAAGAUCAGCUGCAUUCGAAAAAAAAAACCAUUUAAAAAUUUUGAUACUCAAUGCAGCACCCUCACCAUAACAUUGAAUAACAAAUCGGAGGACUUACUUUGUUUCUAUUUUAUACCUAAGGUAGCACUGCACAGUUGGGUGUGAAGUUUCGCAUUCUGGCCCCUGUGGAUUUUUCAAAUAUGAGAGCUAGUGUCCAAUAAAAUUCAUUAUUUUAAAUAAAUGCAGAAUGUUGCCAUGGAUACACUUAAAAGGAAUUGUAUUUCAUCAUUUUAAGUUUUGAAAAUCAAAUCAAUGGAAGAUACUGCUUAAAUAAUAUGCACAUGUACAACAAAAACAGUUAGGUUAAUGUAUUAUAAAGACAGGAAUAGAAGAUGAUAAAAUAUAUAUUAUGGUUCAAUUUUGAUUUUAUUCUGUAACUGUGGAGUGCUACAUAAGCUCCACAAAAAGUAUGUACACAUAACGGUACAUUGUCUGCUCAUCUGCAUGCUCCACUAAAAAUGUCAAUUAGAUUGACUAAAAUUAUGUCCGCAUUGAAAGAGGGUUGUGAAACUGUUUACUCGCGUAGUGGUACUAAUUAUAUGUAGAUUCUUUAAAACUGUAUAGAACCUCUGAAAGAAGUCUUUUCAAAAUAUGUUCAACCCUGUAUACCACCUAUUCCCCAUGUGGAAUUAAAAAGCGUCUAAAAGAAACAAGUGAUGAGUGUGUUUUAGUUUCUUAUUGACAAUAUAUGUUUGUUGAAUUUGGAGGUAGACUUUUACAACACAUUGUCAUUAUUUCUAUGGGAAUGAAAUGUGCGCCUCUCCUUGCCGAUCUCUUCUUAUUGUCAUAUGAAUUGGAGUUCCUUCAGACACUUGAUAUAUAUACAUAUAUUGAUGAUUUUCUUUUCAUUAACAAUCCAAACUUUUCUGAUUAGGUUCCAUUAAUAUAUUCUCCAAAUUUAGGAACCUUAAGAAACAACAGACACAACUCCCUCUGCCUAAUUUUUAUACUUAUACCUUGAAUUUGACAUACACAGUCAUCUCAUUACCAGAUUCUAGAACAAACAGCACGAUUUUGAUAAGAAGUUAUCAAUUUCCCCACCUGCGUAGCAAUAUACCAACUUCACCUGCAUAAGGACUAUACAUUUUCCAACUUAUUCGGUAUUCUAGAUUUUGCAGCUCCUACUAAGACGUCUCCAGUGUCUGAGUAGAAAAGUGAUGAACCAGGAGGUAUCUCACAGAACAUCUUGUCCCUUUGUGAAGAAGUUAAUCGGAAGGGUACCAAGACUUUGUUGAUGAAACGUUCGUAUCAUCUUCACAACUAAUACACGAUGGUCUUGAAGUAUAAAGUCUGCGUACUGACGUUGUUUAUAAUCUUAAUAAGGUGUAAUCGUAUUUUUUAUUUGUCUUUAUUAAUAUUACGUUGACUGUGUAGUCCGUUUUUGGUAAAAAUCUGCACUUAUAAUAUAGUCUAGACAUUUGUUUAGGAGCCAGUUGAAGGACGCCUCCGGGUGCGGGAGUUUCGCGCUGUAUUUAAGACCUAUUGGUGACCUUCUGCUGUUGUCUGUUCUAUGGUUGGGUUGUUGUCUCUUUGACACAUUCCCCAUUUCCAUUCUCAAUUGUAUUAUGCAUCCCGUCAUUGUGUUAUUGUUGUAUAUUUUAUGUCUACUUAUAUUUCAUUUUUGAUGAUGUGCUGUGUCUAUAUGACUUUUGGGGUUUCUUUGAUACAUAUGUUUUGGCUCAAUACUUAUAUGGUGUGUCUUUGCUCUUUUGUAUAUUAACAAUAAACAUAUAGACAAGCGGAGACAAGAAUUUUGUUCAUACUUGGAACGACAAAAUUAUUUUGUAUCUACCUGUGUGACGUUUAAAUGCUGAACUACUGAUAUACGUCUAGCGCACUUAUCUACCUAAUAGUUAAUGUCAACCUAAAAGUGUGCCUGUAAGAGUAAGGAUUCAAGUCCCAGUACUUAACAUUGUAUUAUAUAAAAGCAAUAAAUGAGGUUGUUAAAUUUGAUAUGUGACUUUUUGUUGCGUAUUUGUUUGUGUUUAAAGAGAUUAAGUCUAUAACACAAUGUUGACUGCUGUUCCUCUGUUUUUGAAAUUUUUAUGUCUGUUGCUUUUGUUCACGUAGCGUUGUGGUUAUAUUGAAAUUUGAUGCGACUGUCAUACAAGUUAUAGGUUUAGCUAGCUAUAAAACCAGGUUCCAUCUACAUUUUCUACAUGCCUGUUCUAAGUCAGAAAUUUGACAGUUGUUAUCCAUUCGUUUUAAUGUGUUUGAUGUUUUUGAGCUUUUGAAUUUGCCAUUUGAUUAGGGACUUUCCGUUUUGGAUUUUCCUCGGAGUUCAGUAUUUUUGUGAUUUUACUUUUAACCUUAUACUUUAUGUAGCCCUUUUUAAUUUUUUUUAAAUUGAUAACAGUCUUGUACAGACGAAACCCUCGUCUCACAUAAACACAUUUUAAUCCGGUAUCUAUGAUUAGGUUAUGUAAUAUCACUGGAUUAAAAGUUAGUAUGUGUUCUCAUUAAUUAUCCUUCAUAUGGUCAUCAUCAUCAAAUUAACUGUUUACAAAUCAUUUAAUUUUUUUAAAGAUAUAAAACGGGAAUUUGUAUUUAUCAUUAAUUGUAAUAAUUAUGCAAUUUGUCUACAUGAUGUAUUCUUGUCUAGAAAUGAAAGUGUACGAUAAUUAAAUCAAGAUAAACAUCAUGUUUUUUGUAGAUCGUUGGUAUUAAUAGAAAACAACGCCACAGU
Molecule: long non-coding RNA, 15502 nt
Filed under: Mytilus galloprovincialis (Mediterranean mussel)
Lineage: Eukaryota; Metazoa; Mollusca; Bivalvia; Mytilida; Mytilidae
Source: RNAcentral